GGGCCCGCACAAGCAGUGGAGUAUGUGGUUUAAUUCGAAGCAACGCGAAGAAUCUUACCAAGGCUUGACAUGCAGAUGAAUAAUGUGGAAACAUAUUAGCUCUUCGGAGCAUCUGUGCAGGUGGUGCAUGGUUGUCGUCAGCUCGUGUCGUGAGAUGUUGGGUUAAGUCCCGCAACGAGCGCAACCCCUGUCAUUAGUUACCAGCACGUUAAGGUGGGCACACUAGUGAGACUGCCGUGAAUAACGCGGAGGAAGGUGGGGACGACGUCAAAUCAUCAUGCCCUAUAUGUCUUGGGCUACACACGUACUACAAUGGCCGUAACAGAGAGAAGCGAAAUAGCGAUAUGGAGCAAAACUUAAAAAAGCGGUACACAGUUCGGAUUGGAGGCUGAAAUUCGCCUCCGAUGAAGCCGGAAUUGCUAGUAAUGGCAGGUCAGCAUACUG
Molecule: ribosomal RNA, 444 nt
Filed under: uncultured Bacillota bacterium
Lineage: Bacteria; Bacillati; Bacillota
Description: bacterial SSU rRNA
Rfam family: Bacterial small subunit ribosomal RNA
Source: RNAcentral